CCAGACUCCUACGGGAGGCAGCAGUGGGGAAUAUUGGGCAAUGGGCGCAAGCCUGACCCAGCAACGCCGCGUGAAGGAAGAAGGCUCUCGGGUUGUAAACUUCUUUUAUCAGGGACGAAGCAAGUGACGGUACCUGAUGAAUAAGCCCCGGCUAACUACGUGCCAGCAGCCGCGGUAAUACGUAGGGGGCGAGCGUUGUCCGGAAUGACUGGGCGUAAAGGGUGUGUAGGCGGUUUAUUAAGUUAGAAGUGAAAUACCUAGGGCUUAACCCAGGUGCUGCUUCUAAAACUGAUAGACUUGAGUGCAGUAGAGGAAAGUGGAAUUCCUAGUGUAGCGGUGGAAUGCGUAGAUAUUAGGAGGAACAUCAGUGGCGAAGGCGACUUUCUGGACUGUAACUGACGCUGAGGCACGAAAGUGUGGGGAGCAAACAGGAUUAGAUACCCUAGUAAAA
This 451-nucleotide ribosomal RNA is filed under the name uncultured bacterium. RNAcentral's name for it is "bacterial SSU rRNA". It matches the Rfam family "Bacterial small subunit ribosomal RNA", at positions 331 to 793 of the family's 1533-position model. The record is from RNAcentral.